Molecule: transfer RNA, 70 nt
Filed under: Hylobates pileatus (pileated gibbon)
Lineage: Eukaryota; Metazoa; Chordata; Mammalia; Primates; Hylobatidae
Description: tRNA-Lys
Source: RNAcentral
CACUGUAGAGCUAGAUUAGCAUUAACCUUUUAAGUUAAAGACUAAGAGGGCCGCCGCCUCUUUACAGUGA